RNAcentral lists this ribosomal RNA (459 nucleotides) under uncultured bacterium. RNAcentral's name for it is "partial 16S ribosomal RNA". It matches the Rfam family "Bacterial small subunit ribosomal RNA", at positions 338 to 795 of the family's 1533-position model. The record is from RNAcentral.
CCUACGGGUGGCAGCAGUGAGGAAUAUUGGUCAAUGGGCGCGAGCCUGAACCAGCCAAGUCGCGUGAGGGAAGACGGUCCUAUGGAUUGUAAACCUCUUUUGUCGGGGAGCAAAAGACGCCACGCGUGGCGUUCCGUGAGUACCCGAAGAAAAAGCAUCGGCUAACUCCGUGCCCGCAGCCGCGGUAAUACGGAGGAUGCGAGCGUUAUCCGGAUUUAUUGGGUUUAAAGGGUGCGCAGGCGGAAGAUCAAGUCAGCGGUAAAAUUGAGAGGCUCAACCUCUUCGAGCCGUUGAAACUGGGUUUCUUGAGUGAGCGAGAGGUAUGCGGAAUGCGUGGUGUAGCGGUGAAAUGCAUAGAUAUCACGCAGAACUCCGAUUGCGAAGGCAGCAUACCGGCGCUCAACUGACGCUGAUGCACGAAAGUGUGGGUAUCGAACAGGAUUAGAUACCCUAGUAGUC